UGUGUAGCUCAGUGGCAGAGUUCUAACCUGCUGUGUAUGACGCUUUGGGUUCAAUUCCCAGCACA
Mesocricetus auratus (golden hamster) is the source of this 65-nucleotide non-coding RNA. Lineage: Eukaryota; Metazoa; Chordata; Mammalia; Rodentia; Cricetidae. The record is from Rfam.